CCGUUUCUAUUUGUGUGGGACUGAUAAAGUGAAUAUGUGUAUCUAUCCCUCCGGCAGUUACAAUAUAACCGGAACCACCAUGUACCUCGGUCGAGGCGCCGAUAAUCAUGUUUGGGGAUAUACCGUCUGUGGUAUCCGGGUUUCCAGCACAGCCUAUUCCAACAAUUUUACCGUCUUUAAUCCCAAUAUCGGCCUUUACGAUCCCCCAGUGUUCUAUAAUAAUAGCCCCGGUAAUUGCCAUAUCCAGUACGCCCUGAUCCCUGACUGCAAUAGAAGACUGGCACAUCCCAUCCCG
RNAcentral lists this small RNA (295 nucleotides) under Pedobacter cryoconitis. Its description in RNAcentral is "5' ureB small RNA". It matches the Rfam family "5' ureB small RNA". Lineage: Bacteria; Pseudomonadati; Bacteroidota; Sphingobacteriia; Sphingobacteriales; Sphingobacteriaceae. The record is from RNAcentral.